RNAcentral lists this ribosomal RNA (495 nucleotides) under uncultured bacterium. RNAcentral's name for it is "partial 16S ribosomal RNA". It matches the Rfam family "Bacterial small subunit ribosomal RNA", at positions 28 to 507 of the family's 1533-position model. The record is from RNAcentral.
GACGAACGCUGGCGGCGUGCCUAAUACAUGCAAGUAGAACGCUGAAGGAGGAGCUUGCUUCUCUGGAUGAGUUGCGAACGGGUGAGUAACGCGUAGGUAACCUGCCUGGUAGUGGGGGAUAACUAUUGGAAACGAUAGCUAAUACCGCAUAAUAGCAGUUGUUGCAUGAUAACUGUUUGAAAGGUGCAAUUGCACCGCUACCAGAUGGACCUGCGUUGUAUUAGCUAGUUGGUGGGGUAACGGCUCACCAAGGCGACGAUACAUAGCCGACCUGAGAGGGUGAUCGGCCACACUGGGACUGAGACACGGCCCAGACUCCUACGGGAGGCAGCAGUAGGGAAUCUUCGGCAAUGGACGGAAGUCUGACCGAGCAACGCCGCGGGAGUGAAGAAGGGUUUCGGAUCGUAAAGCUCUGUUGUAAGAGAAGAACGAGUGUGAGAGUGGAAAGUUCACACUGUGACGGUAUCUUACCAGAAAGGGACGGCUAACUACGUG